This 1430-nucleotide long non-coding RNA is filed under the name Malus domestica (apple). RNAcentral's name for it is "long non-coding RNA (MDOM_LNC006389)". The record is from RNAcentral. Lineage: Eukaryota; Viridiplantae; Streptophyta; Magnoliopsida; Rosales; Rosaceae.
CCGCCUAAACCCCCACUUUGAUCGCUACUUUCACUUAGAUAGAAAAUAAAUAACUUUUAUUUGUGCAUUUAUUUUUUUAAUAAAUUAUAACAGACUUGUUGAAUACUUUGAUGAACACUCAUUAUAUUUUGUUUCCCCAUAUUUUCAAUAUGUUCUAAUACUAUCUAAUCUACAUGUCACUUUAUUUUUCAAUUUAUGUAUUUCAAUACAAUUAUGUAUUUUUUAAGUAUGAAUAGACACUUAUUUAUAUGAUGUAUAAUAAGUUUAUUUAAAUCCGCUCAGUUCACCUAGGUCCUCACCUAACUGCCUAGGUGCUAGGCCCUAAUCCACAACCCACUAGUGCCUAAAAUCUUUUAAAACCUUGCUUUAUAGCAAAUGUAUUGACGGAUGUGGGGUACUCAUCUUCUAGUUUGCUUAUAGGGAUUUGUUUUAGUAGGCAAGUUGGAGACAAAGAGUUAUGUCAAAAAUAAAAUGUCCAUACUACUUUUUAAUUUAACGUUUAUUUAAUAGAAUGACGAAAAUGAAGAUGAAUUGAGACUUAAAGAGACGAAAAUAGCAGUUUUAUAAAGUAAAGCGAGACAAAAGCAAUUUCAAAGGUGAAGUGAAACUAAAUAACAAUUUUAUGGUGCAAAUCAAUUAAUAAACCUUUUAACCAAUUUUGAAUAUAUAUUUUUUUCUAUUUCAACAUAUCUAGUUUUAAUAUUAUAUGUAGUUUUCUUUAUCAAUAAUAUUGUAUAAUGUUUAAACUUUGGGAUAAAUUCUCUCAUCCUUCACUAAAAUUUGCUAGCCACAUUAUCCACAGUUUUGGUGUAACUUUACCUUUUGGUUGUGUAUCCUUCAACAUAUCUAGUUUUAAUAUUAUAUGAUAGUUUUCUUUAUCAAUAAUAUUGUAUAAUGUUUAAACUUUGGGAUAAAUUCUCUCAUCCUUCACUAAAAUUUGCUAGCCACAUUAUCCACAGUUUUGGUGUAACUUUACCUUUUGGUUGUGUAUCCUUCAACAUAUCUAGUUUUAAUAUUAUAUGAUAGUUUUCUUUAUCAAUAAUAUUGUAUAAUGUUUAAACUUUGGGAUAAAUUCUCUCAUCCUUCACUAAAAUUUGCUAGCCACAUUAUCCACAGUUUUGGUGUAACUUUACCUUUUGGUUGUGUAUCCUUCACCCAAAGUUAUACUAAAACUGUGGCUUUUAGUAUAACUAUUACUUAAGGGUUAUUUUUUUAUGGUUGUGUUUAAAAAAGAAAAAAUACUCAUGUUGUGUUAUGAGAAAAAUCAAUUGUACUAAACAAGUACUAACAUAAAAAAAAUGUUUUAUUUGGUUGAAAAGAUAAAACUUUGUUCAUUUAAAGAUGAGUAGAUUCAAUAAGUAAAACAUCACAAGUUAAAUCCGGUUGUUCAUCAAACCAACAAGAAUUCAAAUUGAAAAACAAAGUCAUAC